RNAcentral lists this ribosomal RNA (486 nucleotides) under uncultured bacterium. RNAcentral's name for it is "bacterial SSU rRNA". It matches the Rfam family "Bacterial small subunit ribosomal RNA", at positions 28 to 524 of the family's 1533-position model. The record is from RNAcentral.
GAUGAACGCUGGCGGCGCGCCUAACACAUGCAAGUCGAACGGGAUUGAGAGGAGCUUGCUUUUCUUUGAUUCAGUGGCGAACGGGUGAGUAACGCGUGAGGAACCUGCCUUAAAGAGGGGGACAACAGUUGGAAACGACUGCUAAUACCGCAUAAGCCCACGGUACCGCAUGGUACAGAGGGAAAGGAGCAGUCCGCUUUUAAGAUGGCCUCGCGUCCGAUUAGCUAGUUGGUGAGGUAACGGCCCACCAAGGCGACGAUCGGUAGCCGGACUGAGAGGUUGAACGGCCACAUUGGGACUGAGACACGGCCCAGACUCCUACGGGAGGCAGCAGUGGGGAAUAUUGCACAAUGGGGGAAACCCUGAUGCAGCGACGCCGCGUGGAGGAAGAAGGUCUUCGGAUUGUAAACUCCUGUUGUUGGGGAAGAUAAUGACGGUACCCAACAAGGAAGUGACGGCUAACUACGUGCCAGCCGCCGCGGUAAC